RNAcentral lists this unclassified non-coding RNA (240 nucleotides) under soil metagenome. RNAcentral describes it as "partial contains 5.8S ribosomal RNA, internal transcribed spacer 2, and large subunit ribosomal RNA". The record is from RNAcentral.
AACGCACGAGACCUGCGGACCUGCGGAAGGAUCAUUAAUGAGAAGCUGCCCCUCGUGGGUAGACCUCCCACCCUCUGUGAACUUACCUUUGUUGCUUUGGCAGGCCCGUCCUCUGGACCGCCGGCUUCGGCUGGCCCGUGCCUGCCAGAGGACUCCAAACCCUGUCUGUCAGUGUUGUCUGAGUCUAUAUGAAAUCGUUAAAACUUUCAACAACGGAUCUCUAGAUCGGAAGAGCACACG